This 52-nucleotide non-coding RNA is filed under the name unclassified sequences. RNAcentral's name for it is "L31-Actinobacteria ribosomal protein leader". It matches the Rfam family "L31-Actinobacteria ribosomal protein leader". The record is from RNAcentral.
GCGGUACCGGUUCACGUCGCAGCGGCAUCAGCCGCCCGGCGACCCGGCGACC